Molecule: ribosomal RNA, 468 nt
Filed under: Salmonella enterica subsp. enterica
Lineage: Bacteria; Pseudomonadati; Pseudomonadota; Gammaproteobacteria; Enterobacterales; Enterobacteriaceae
Also listed under: 2 other names
Description: bacterial SSU rRNA
Rfam family: Bacterial small subunit ribosomal RNA
Source: RNAcentral
GUCAGCUCGUGUUGUGAAAUGUUGGGUUAAGUCCCGCAACGAGCGCAACCCUUAUCCUUUGUUGCCAGCGAUUAGGUCGGGAACUCAAAGGAGACUGCCAGUGAUAAACUGGAGGAAGGUGGGGAUGACGUCAAGUCAUCAUGGCCCUUACGACCAGGGCUACACACGUGCUACAAUGGCGCAUACAAAGAGAAGCGACCUCGCGAGAGCAAGCGGACCUCAUAAAGUGCGUCGUAGUCCGGAUUGGAGUCUGCAACUCGACUCCAUGAAGUCGGAAUCGCUAGUAAUCGUGGAUCAGAAUGCCACGGUGAAUACGUUCCCGGGCCUUGUACACACCGCCCGUCACACCAUGGGAGUGGGUUGCAAAAGAAGUAGGUAGCUUAACCUUCGGGAGGGCGCUUACCACUUUGUGAUUCAUGACUGGGGUGAAGUCGUAACAAGGUAACCGUAGGGGAACCUGCGGUUGGA